GCAAGUCGAACGGUAACAUGAGUGCUUGCACUUGAUGACGACCGGCGCACGGGUGAGUAACGCGUACACAAUCUACCUUUAAGAGGAGGAUAGCCCUGGGAAACUGGGAGUAAUACUCCAUAGUAUUAUUAAUUCGAUAAAUAAAUAAUUAAAGCUUCGGCGCUUAAAGAUGAGUGUGCGUCCCAUUAGCUAGUUGGUACGGUAACGGCGUACCAAGGCGACGAUGGGUAGGGGGCGUGAGAGCGUGAUC
This 250-nucleotide ribosomal RNA is filed under the name uncultured bacterium. RNAcentral describes it as "partial 16S ribosomal RNA". It matches the Rfam family "Bacterial small subunit ribosomal RNA", at positions 57 to 305 of the family's 1533-position model. The record is from RNAcentral.